This 738-nucleotide ribosomal RNA is filed under the name Microbacterium aurantiacum. Its description in RNAcentral is "partial 16S ribosomal RNA". It matches the Rfam family "Bacterial small subunit ribosomal RNA", at positions 86 to 845 of the family's 1533-position model. The record is from RNAcentral. Lineage: Bacteria; Bacillati; Actinomycetota; Actinomycetes; Micrococcales; Microbacteriaceae.
GGUGGAUCAGUGGCGAACGGGUGAGUAACACGUGAGCAACCUGCCCUGGACUCUGGGAUAAGCGCUGGAAACGGCGUCUAAUACUGGAUAUGAGCCUCUAUCGCAUGGUGGGGGUUGGAAAGAUUUUUUGGUCUGGGAUGGGCUCGCGGCCUAUCAGCUUGUUGGUGAGGUAAUGGCUCACCAAGGCGUCGACGGGUAGCCGGCCUGAGAGGGUGACCGGCCACACUGGGACUGAGACACGGCCCAGACUCCUACGGGAGGCAGCAGUGGGGAAUAUUGCACAAUGGGCGGAAGCCUGAUGCAGCAACGCCGCGUGAGGGAUGACGGCCUUCGGGUUGUAAACCUCUUUUAGCAAGGAAGAAGCUUUUGUGACGGUACUUGCAGAAAAAGCGCCGGCUAACUACGUGCCAGCAGCCGCGGUAAUACGUAGGGCGCAAGCGUUAUCCGGAAUUAUUGGGCGUAAAGAGCUCGUAGGCGGUUUGUCGCGUCUGCUGUGAAAUCCCGAGGCUCAACCUCGGGCCUGCAGUGGGUACGGGCAGACUAGAGUGCGGUAGGGGAGAUUGGAAUUCCUGGUGUAGCGGUGGAAUGCGCAGAUAUCAGGAGGAACACCGAUGGCGAAGGCAGAUCUCUGGGCCGUAACUGACGCUGAGGAGCGAAAGGGUGGGGAGCAAACAGGCUUAGAUACCCUGGUAGUCCACCCCGUAAACGUUGGGAACUAGUUGUGGGGUCCUUUCCACG